This is a long non-coding RNA of Octopus bimaculoides (California two-spot octopus), 4901 nucleotides long. The record is from RefSeq and is a predicted model, not a curated record. NCBI's taxonomy places the organism in Eukaryota, Metazoa, Mollusca, Cephalopoda, Octopoda, Octopodidae.
CACAUUUGUCUGCGAGUAUAUUAGUGUCCCCUUGUCCUGACAUCAUACGAUUGUUGUAAAUGAAUCUCACCUUCAUACGCGUGAUGGUGUUUAUUUCUAAUCUUCCAUGGAAAUGCCUGGACAACAGAGAGAAAAAAAAUCUGUUUUGAUGAAUUCCACCUGAUCUAUGCAAACAUGGAAAAGUGGACCUUGAAAUGUUCAUGCUAAUAAAUAAUGAUGAUGAUGUUGUUGUUAUUAUUAUUAUUCCAAAUUCUUCCGAGGUCAACCUUGCUUUUUAUCCUUUUGGGGUUGAUAAAUUAAGUACCAGUGAAACUGGGGUUGAUGCAAUCAACUUUCUCCCUCCUCCAAAUUUUCAGGCUUUAUGCCUAUAGUAAAAAGGAUUAUUAUUAUUAUUAUUAUUAUUAUUAUGGCAGCGAGUUGGCAGAAUCGUAAACACAGCGAGCGAAAUGCUUCACAGUAUUUCGUCUACCUUUAUGUUCUGACUUCAAAUUCCGCCGAGGUAGACUUUGCCCUUCAUCCUUUCAGGGCUGAUAAAAUAAAUACCAGUUACACACUGGGGUCAAUGUAAUCAACUUACCCCCUCCCCUGAAUUGGCUGGCUUUGUGCCAAAAUUUUAAAUCAUUAUUAUUAUUAUUGUAAUUUAAUCAUUAUUAUUAUUAUUAUCAUUAUUAUUGUUGUAUGAAAAUGUCUAUUGUUAUUUUCUUCUUUUCUCUUACAGUAAAGGAUUAUACUCGACUGAGGAUUGCUGGGAUAGCAGCUGGUAUCACUUCCUGCAUACUUGUUCUUAUAUUAGUUAUGUGUGUCAUUUUUGUAUAUGUCAAAUAUCGAGAUCGUAUUCCCUUGAUGGCCAUAAACUCACAGGAUUAAUGUCGGUUCAAUGAGAGAAGAUUGAGAAAAGCGAAACGUGACCAGAACGCGCAAAAUUAAGGCCAUAAGUAACCAUGUUGACCACAAAGCUAGAUGACCAAUUACAUAAAAAGGAAAAAGCCCUGAAUUGUCCGUUGACCACUCAUCCAAGACAAGUUGCCAGAAAAUGACCAUAAAGAUCCAGUGAAUUCUAGCAUGAAAGGGAGACAUAUAUACACUGACCAAUCACAUGACUGACCCCCAGAGAGGAUAUCCAAUCACAACCAAACUAACACUAACAUGUGAUAACAACAACAACAACAUCAUCAUCAUCAUCAAAAAUAGCAACAGCUAUAAAACCAUGGUGGACAGAGACAAUAGGCACGACUAAAAACCACAAGAAUUAUUAUUAUUAUUAUCAUUAACAAUGGUGGUGGGUUGGCAGUAUUGUUAGGGCACUGGGCAAAAUGCCUUACACUAUUUCUUCCGAUUAUUCACAUCCUGAGUUCAAAUCCUGCUGAGGGCAACUUUGACUUUCAUUCCUCUGGGUGGGCGGCAGAAGUGUCCGAUAAAAUUAGAGUACCAGUCAAGUACUGGCAGUCAGUGGUAUCAACACUAACUCCGUCCUCCCCCUCACAAUUACUGGCUUCAUGCAGAAAACAAAUAAGGUUUAAUUAUUAUUAUUAUUAUUAUUAAUAUUAUUAAUAUUAUUAAUAUGGUGGUGGCGGUGAGCUGCAGACUCAUUAGCAUGCUGGAAAAAAUACUUAGCAGUAUUUUUUCUGGCUCUUUAAUUAUGUUCUGAGUUCAGAUUCCACCCAGGUCAACUUUGCCUUUCAUCCUCUUGGAGAGGUCGAUAAAAUAAAGUACCAGUUAAACACUGAGGGUCGAUGUAAUUGACUUGCCCCCCCCCCCCUCAGAAUUUCUGGCCUGGUGCCAAAAAUUUAAAACACCAUCAUCAUUAUUAUUAUUAUUAUUAUUGUUAAGGUGGCGAGCUGGCAGAAUCGUUAGCAUGCCGGGCGAAAUAUGUUUAGCUGUAUUUCGUCUGCCACUACAUUCUGAGCUCAAAUUCCACUGAGGUCGACUUUGCCUUUUGUCCUUUCGGGGGUCGAAAAAUUAAGUACCAGUGAAAUACUGGAGUCGAUGUAAUUGACUCAUCCCCUUCCCCAAAAUGGCUGCCCUUUGUAGCAAAAUUUGAAACCAUUUUUAUUUUUAUUAUUAUUAUUAUUAUUAUUAUUAUUAUAUUAUUAUUAUUAUUGUUGGUACACUAGCGUCAGAAUCUGCAGAAAGGGGAACUAAAUACUGCUUGCAGUGUUUAGUAUACCAUUUCUGUGUUCCGAGUUCAAAUCCCGCUGAAGUCAACCUUGCCCUUUGCCCUUUCUAGGACGGGGAUGGGUGGGCAAUAAAACAGAGUACCAGUUUAUGUACUGGUGUCCAUUUACACAACUGCUACCCACCCCUCGCCCUCAUUUCCUCUCCCCCACUUUGUGUCCUAUUCUCCUUUACUACUACUACUACUACUGCUGCUUCUACUAUUACUACUACUACUACUGUUGUUGUUGUUGUGCUUGUUAUAUUUUGUUGUUGUUGUUGUUAUUAUUAAUAUUAUGGUAGCGAGCUAGCAGAAUCGUUAGCAAGUCAGAUAAAAUGCAUGAGUGGCAUUUCAUCCAGCUUCUUUACAUUCUAAGUUCAAAUUCCAUCGAGGCCCACUUUGCCCUUCGCCCUUUCAGGGUCGAUAAAAUAAGCACCAAUUGAACACCAAGGAGGGUCGGGGUUGAUGUAAUCAACUUACCUUCCUCUCAAAAUUGCUGGCUUUGUACUGCUAAAAUUAGAAAGAAUUAUUAUUUAUUAUUGUUAAUAUUAUACUAAACAAAAGAGGUCACUAAUCGGUUUCUGUCUUCCCUCGACAAGAACAAUCCCCUCUACCUUUUCCGUUUUUUUUUUUACCUAAAUCGGUUUCUGAAUAUCGCAAAUUAUAUUUCAAACUGUAAAGGCAUGCUGUCACAACAUCUAAUCUUUCCCCUGCCCCCUUGAACCAACCUCCACCACAAACAAAUAUCAGGCUUCCUCUAAGAAGCUCAAUUAAUAUUUUUUAUUAAGGUGGCAUGUUAGCAGGAUAGUUAGAACACCAGACAAAAUGUUCUGUGGCAUUUCUUCCGACUCUUUAGAUUCUGAGUUCAAAUCUCACUGAAGUCAACUUUGCCUUUCGUUCUACCAGGGUCGAUGAAAUCAAGUACUAGGGUUGAUGGUAUUGUACCGAUUAACCCUUCCCCUCAAAAAUGUAGAACUUAUGUCUAAAUUAGAAACAACUGACAGUAAGCUGGUGGUAUCAUUAGUGCGGCAGCAAAAAAAUUAUUCACACUUUUACAUUCUGAGUUCAAAUCCUGCUGUAGUCAGCUUUGCUUUUCAUCCCUCAGGGGCCAAUAAAAUAAAGUACCAGUUGAAGUAUUGGGGUUGAUGGUAUUAACUAAACUCCUUUAUUUAAAAUUGCUGGUCUUGAGUAUUAAUUAUAAACUAGGGCAGUGGACUGGUAGAAUCGGCAGAGCGUCAGAAAAAAUGCUGCAUGUUAUUUCUCCUAACUCUUCACAUUCUGAGUUCAAAUCCUGAUGAGGCUAGCUUUGCUUUUCAUUCCUCUGAGGGCGAUGAAAUAAAGUACUACACAAGAAUUGAGACUGAUGACAUCAACUGACCCCUUCCCCUCAAAACUACAGGCCUUGAAUUUAAACCAGAAACGUUUAUUAUUUACUUUUAUCAUUUUCUUCUGUGGCCUUUUUUUGUACAGAUAAAAAAAAUUGUUUUUUCUUAGUUAUGAAACCUCAGAUUCUGAGUUCAAAUUCCAUCUUGCAUCAGCUUUUUUCUUGUGGGUUAGGAAUGAUUGCUAAAAAUUAAAUCCAAUUUAAAAUGACAGGAACACCUAUCCCUCCCUUGCCCUUCCUCAGAACCCAACCCUAGCCUUUUGUGUAAAUUAUAUUAAUUAUUAUUUUUAUUAUUUUUAUAUUUUUAAUUAUUAUUAUUUUUUUUAGUUUUUUAUGUCUUUGUACCAAUAGAAUAUCUAUUAUUAUUAUUAUUAUUGUUAUUGUUAUUGGCUUACAGCACUUUAACCAUUAUGAUUCUAAUUUCAAAUCUAUCUCACCCCCAAGGUCCUAUUUGCCUUUCACCCAUUCAGAAAGGGGUGGGAGAUGAAUAAGAACCCGCAACCGUAAAUAUAUUUGGAGUUGGGUGAACAGGGAGAAAAGCAGGUGAAAUAUGGAAUCACGCAGAAGGAAUUUAAUCAACUUACCUUUAUUUUACACACACCCCACCACCUUCUACAUGACUGUGAUUUGAUGCCACUAUAACUAAUAAUUGUUGUUGCUAUUAUUAUUAUUAUUAUUUAAGGUGCCAAGCUGACAGAAUUGACAAAAUAUCAGGAAAGGAAAUAUGCCCUGCAAUAUUUUUUUCUGGCCCUUUAUGUUUUGAGUUCAAAUUCUUCUCAGGUUAACUUUGCUUUUCAAUCCCUUUGGUGUGGGUUGAGGGUGUCAGGAAAUAAAAAGACAAUGCAGAUACCAGGAUCAGUGUAGUCGACUGAGCCCCCCCCCUCCACUAAAAUUUCUGGGCUUUGUGCCUAUAUUAGACUUAAAAAAUUAUUAACAGCUAUACAUUCUGGGUUCAAAUCCUGCCGAGGUCAACUUUUCCUUUUAUCCCUUCUGGGUUGAUGAAAUAAGUACCAGUUGUGCACUGAGGUUGAUUGUAAUCAACUCGCGAAGAAAAAAAUAAGAGCCAGGACAACACUGGGGUUGAUUACAUCAAACUAACUCCCCUCCCUUAAAAUUUCUGGCCUUGUGCCGGAAAUUUGAGACCCUUAUUGUUAUUAUUAAUAGUUAUAGUGAUAUUAUUUUUUAGGAGACCAAAAAUGACAAAAAGAAAAAAAAGGAAAAAAAAAAAACGGACUCUAACAAAAAGAGAAAAAGAAAAAACAAUGCAUGUGUGUGGAUUUGUAUACGUUAACAUUUUUGUAUAUGAGAAAAAUAUUAAAAAAGAACUGUUAUUUAUUUAAAUUUUUUUUAUUACCCACAAUG